Molecule: long non-coding RNA, 666 nt
Filed under: Callithrix jacchus (white-tufted-ear marmoset)
Lineage: Eukaryota; Metazoa; Chordata; Mammalia; Primates; Cebidae
Description: lncRNA (ENSCJAG00000079925.1)
Source: RNAcentral
AUGCCACUACCUGGUUCUGUUUCUCUUUCGCUGGCCACCUGGUUAAGCUCCCAUUGGUCAGGUGUCCGGAGUGGGGCUCACCACUGCAGAGGGCUCCAGCCCUACACAGCGGCCUCCCAGGAAGGACUCAGGAAAAGCACCGACCUCACGCAGGAGAAGGAAGCAUCGUACCCGCACCCUUGUGCAUUCCUUCCCAGCUCAUUCUCCUGCUUACGGGAGCCCACAGGUCAGCCAAGGGAAGAGCUGAGCCAACUGGUCCUUCCACACUCAGUCAUUCAACCUCUCUGUGAAUUCCCAAGUUUUCUGGAAGUUCUUGCUGAUCUCAGCGAUCCUCAAUGGGGCAACAAAGUGCAGGAAGACUCUCAAAGCUGCUUUCUGCCUCCCAAGGCAUCAGAAGUCAGCGCUCCUGGGACUACUCCCACUGGGAAGGAUGCAAUGCAGGGUCAGGAUUCCCCGGGUGAGGAUAAAUCCUGCAGCCUCAGAUCUGCAGCCCUGCUACCAGGUACCAUGCUUCCAGUGGCACGUCCUCUCUGCCCCUCCCAACUGCGGGACUGUCUUCCUAUGUUCUUUUUCAAAGCAGUGUCUCUGCUGCCAAGAGCAGGUUUGUCUGUCUCCUGGAGACAGCGGUUGUCAAGCCCUGAGAGAAAGCAAGCAUGUCAAAAAUAG